UUCUGUGUCUUGACAUUUUGGCUAAGAUCAAGUGUAGUAUCUGUUCUCAUCAGCUUAAGUCUGGUAUGUCCUCUAUCCAGGCUUCCCAGGUGGCAAUAGUGGUAAAGAACCCAU
RNAcentral lists this small nuclear RNA (114 nucleotides) under Bos taurus (domestic cattle). Its description in RNAcentral is "U2 spliceosomal RNA (ENSBTAG00085040414.1)". It matches the Rfam family "U2 spliceosomal RNA". Rfam says of the family: U2 is a small nuclear RNA (snRNA) component of the spliceosome (involved in pre-mRNA splicing). Complementary binding between U2 snRNA (in an area lying towards the 5' end but 3' to hairpin I) and the branchpoint sequence (BPS) of the intron results the bulging out of an unpaired adenosine, on the BPS, which initiates a nucleophilic attack at the intronic 5' splice site, thus starting the first of two transesterification reactions that mediate splicing. The record is from RNAcentral. Lineage: Eukaryota; Metazoa; Chordata; Mammalia; Artiodactyla; Bovidae.